Long non-coding RNA from Oncorhynchus keta (chum salmon), 775 nucleotides. RefSeq lists it as uncharacterized. The record is from RefSeq and is a predicted model, not a curated record. NCBI's taxonomy places the organism in Eukaryota, Metazoa, Chordata, Actinopteri, Salmoniformes, Salmonidae. The transcript is spliced from 5 exons.
CACAUCUCUGGUUGAUGACCAUCACCAGGUAGUCUACAGUAUUCAAACCUCUGGUUGAUGACCAUCACCAGGUAGUCUACAGUAUUCACAUCUCUGGUUGAUGACCAUCACCAGGUAGUCUACAGUAUUCACAUCUCUGGUUGAUGACCAUCACCAGGUAGUCUACAGUAUUCACAUCUCUGGUUGAUGACCAUCACCAGGUAGUCUACAGUAUUCAAACCUCUGGUUGAUGACCAUCACCAGGUAGUCUACAGUAUUCAAACCUCUGGUUGAUGACCAUCACCAGGUAGUCUACAGUAUUCAAACCUCUGGUUGAUGACCAUCACCAGGUAGUCUACAGUAUUCAAACCUCUGGUUGAUGACCAUCACCAGGUAGUCUACAGUAUUCACAUCUCUGGUUGAUGACCAUCACCAGGUAGUCUACAGUAUUCAAACCUCUGGUUGAUGACCAUCACCAGGUAGUCUACAGUAUUCAAACCUCUGGUUGAUGACCAUCACCAGGUAGUCUACAGUAUUCAAACCUCUGGUUGAUGACCAUCACCAGGUAGUCUACAGUAUUCACAUCUCUGGUUGAUGACCAUCACCAGGUAGUCUACAGUAUUCACAUCUCUGGUUGAUGACCAUCACCAGGUAGUCUACAGUAUUCAAACCUCUGGUUGAUGACCAUCACCAGGUAGUCUACAGUAUUCAAACCUCUGGUUGAUGACCAUCACCAGGUAGUCUACAGUAUUCAAACCUCUGGUUGAUGACCAUCACCAGGUAGUCUACAGUAUUC